Long non-coding RNA from Gallus gallus (chicken), 443 nucleotides. The record is from Ensembl. Lineage: Eukaryota; Metazoa; Chordata; Aves; Galliformes; Phasianidae.
ACAGACUUCUGUUCAGUGAGGUGGAUUGCUGUCAUGUUCACAGUGGUAUUUGAGUUGUCUGUAAAGCUGAAUUUAUUCCCAUUGCUAUGGGACAUUUUUGGCCUGUGAAACAUCUGGGGGGUGUCCAGCUGCUUCAGUGGUGGAGAAGUCUGAAGUUGCAGUUCAUAGACAGCAUGAGGAGAGCAAUGCACUGGAUUAGGUACCAUGUUGGAACAAGCAUGAAAUGAGCCCUUACUCAGUGGAGUUGGAGGACAGAUAGGAGAUAUUCUCAUGGCUCUAUUUCUUCCCAGGUCAACAUCGUGACUCCUGGAGAGGAUUUCGAUUGACACAGGUGUGAAAGCAGCAGUGGGUCCUUCUGUGCAAGCACUGCAGGUGCGGAUUCUGUGCUGAGUUGUGACCCCACAGCGCCCUGUCAACUGCGGUGUGACUACAUCAUGUGUGAG